ACCAGCAUUUCAAAGCCACUUUUAAUACGGUGAAUUCAAAACUUUUCAGUGUGUUUUAAGAUUAGCGCUGCAAUUGGGCCGAAUAUCAUCACACCUAAAAACAUUACUGAUUUUUGACCAACAAUUUUUGUAAAUGCUUCGGUUUGACCAGCAGCUAUUACAGCAAUGGCAAUAAUGACAGCAAUCACACCACCACGUAUUUCAUAAAUCUUUUUACCACCA
Molecule: small RNA, 222 nt
Filed under: Mycoplasmoides pneumoniae M129
Lineage: Bacteria; Bacillati; Mycoplasmatota; Mycoplasmoidales; Mycoplasmoidaceae
Description: Mycoplasma pneumoniae M129 ncRNA
Source: RNAcentral